This 68-nucleotide transfer RNA is filed under the name Marmota monax (woodchuck). Its description in RNAcentral is "tRNA.Ala". The stretch from base 5 to 65 matches the Rfam family "tRNA", at positions 6 to 65 of the family's 71-position model. From Rfam's summary of the family: Transfer RNA (tRNA) molecules are approximately 80 nucleotides in length. Their secondary structure includes four short double-helical elements and three loops (D, anti-codon, and T loops). The record is from RNAcentral. Lineage: Eukaryota; Metazoa; Chordata; Mammalia; Rodentia; Sciuridae.
GGUUUGUUGCUCAGUGGUAGAGCACUUGCCUUGCAUGUGUGAGGCACUGGGUUCAAUCCUCAGCACCA